GUGUUCGCUAGAGAUGCUGACGCCGGAAUGAAUGGUGACCUUGACUACAGCAUCAAUAGUGGCAAAAACAAGAAAGGUCGUUUCAAGAUCCAUCCAAAAACAGGCCAGGUGUACAGCAAUAAGGCGUUCCCGCCUAGCAAGACUUUUGAACUAAUGAUCCAGGCAAAGGAUAAUGGACAACCACAGCUAAGCGCCACCACUCGUGUGCUAGUACGUGUGGUUGAUGUGCCUGAUACUUCCUCGAACCCACCUGUUCUGCCACCACAGUCCCCGGCACACGUCAUGGAGACGGAUCAACCAGGACAUUUGGUGGCAUUCAUAAAUGCUCAGGACCCGGACAACGAUACCUUGUGGUACUACAUUACAGAUGGGGACGACAGCGGCAGGUUUUGUAUGGGUGUGGAUUCUGGGUUGGUGAGCCUGGCCCGUCCCGUUGAUCACGAAGAUCAGUACCAUUACUCGCUCACUGUCAUGGCCACAGAUGGAGUGCAUUCCAACUCUACCAAACUAGUGGUAGAAGUAAUGAAUGCCAAUGACCACCGACCAGUGUUCAGCGCCAAGAAGUAUGAGGGCACAAUAAGUGAGGAUAUAGAACCAGGAGCCACUGUUCUCACAUUGCAGUGUCGUGACAAGGAUCAGGCACCGUUGUCAUUUUCUUCUGUGUAUUUCACGCUCCAUCAUGCUCAUGCUUUAGCCUCACAGGGGCUCUUCACUGUGGACUCGUUCACUGGUGACGUGCUUGUAGCAGAACCUCUGGACAGGGAAGUAACUGGUGUCCAUGAGCUGACUGUGAGCUGCAGAGACAGAGGACGCCGAGAGAAUGCAGACUUUGCCCGUGUUUCGGUAACAGUGAAGGAUGCAAAUGAUCAUGCCCCAGUCUUCCUAGAGCCCAUGAUCAUCGCCAAGGUUAGUGUGGGAGGUGCAGCCGGGACACCAGUAGUGCGAGUACUGGCGCUGGAUCAUGACAAGGGUGAAAACGGGAUGAUCUCAUACUCAAUCUUUGAAGGAAAUGCUGGAGGAAUCUUCAGCAUUGACAGUGCACUUGGAGUCAUCAGCCUCACAAGGACAUUACUCGAGGCUGAACCCUCUGAAUAUCUGCUUCUGGUUCGGGCCAUGGACCAUGCCAUUCAGGCUAAGGCUGCCUCAGUUCCGGUCAGAAUAAUAGUGACCUCUUCACAAAACUCACCACCCUCCUGGGAAGAAAAUAAUCCAAGAGUGGUGGAAGUUGGAGAGUGGGUGGCUGUGGGUACAGGUUUAGCCCGCAUCACUGCAUCUUCACCUUCUUCAAUUCACUACUCUCUCACAAGUGGAAAUGACAACAGCCCCUUCAUUAUAAGUCCUGCAUCAGGAGUAGUCAGUGUGGCAUCUCCACUCGAUUAUGAAAGUACUUCUUGGUACAAUCUUACCAUCACUGCUACAAAUCUGGCUGGUUUGUCUCAUAGUACCUGGCUGGGCGUGACAGUUUUAGAUGAAAAUGACUGGUGGCCUGAAUGGGAGAGACUUGCCUACCACGGUAGUGUUCUGCAGACUGCCAGCCGUGGGUCACCCGUGAUGGCAACCCACUCUCAGAACCUAACUCAGCUCACUGUUACAGCCCAGGACCUCGAUCAAGGUUACAAUGGAAGAGUUACUUACAGCCUUGUUGAGAGAAACAUUGGAAAAUAUUUUUCAAUCAACCGACACACAGGAGCAAUAUGGGUGUCAGGCAACCUUGAAGAAAUGGCAGGUACAACUAUUGAGUUCAGUGUGUGGGCUACUGAUGGUGGAAGCCCUAAGAGGGAGUGUGUUGCUCCUGCCCCUGUCUUUGUUGCGGUGAAAACAGUAAAACCUGCUCCUAUUGCCUUUGCUGAGCAGUUAUAUUCAGCUAUCCUUUAUCAACCAACCUUUCCUGGAGUGAGGGUAUUUUGCCUAGAUCCACUUGAUGAGCAGCAACAGCUUGUGGAAGUGAAUAAUAAACACCGACUCACAUAUUCUAUUGCUGCUGGUGAUGACAGGGAAAAUUUUGAAUUUGACAGCACCAGUAGAUGUGUUAAAGUUCGUGACAAAAUAAACCUUAAAUCUCAUUAUAACCUUACACUCCAAGCUACUGAUGGAUAUGCAUCAAUGACUGCAACAGCUGAAAUCAUGAUUCAAGAUGCACCUUUGUCUACUCUUGUUUUUACUCAAGAUCAAUACUGGGCCACAGUCAUUGAGAACUCCACUAAGGAAAUGAAUGUGGCUGCCCUUGGGUUAAAAGGCCAGCCACUCAACCAUCAUGUCCAUUUUACCAUUCUCAACCCUAAUGAAAAAUUUGACAUUCACUCAACUGCUGGUGUCAUCAAGACUACAGGCAGAUCUUUCGACCGUGAGGCUGAAGACCAUUACACGUUAGUGGUUGAGGCAAGAGAUGUCGAGGGAGCAGCAAAUGUGGCCCAUGUGCUUGUCCAUGUGGCAGUGAUGGACGUGAAUGACAAUGAGCCGGUAUUCAUUAACCGGCCCUACCAUGCCCUUGUCUCUACCAUGUCCCCACGUGGUGAUGUAGUCACCAAGGUGCAAGCAAUAGAUGCUGACUCUGAAGAGUUUGGGAGCAUUCGCUAUGAAUUGGUACGAGGUAGUGGUGAACUUUUCUCUGUGAACAAAAAGACUGGUGAAAUUUCCCUGAAACAGUCACUAAUGGCUGCUGACAAGACAUAUAGCCUCACUGUUGCUGCCUAUGAUGGAGGAAAUCCACCCUUAAGCUCACAGGCACAUGUCUUGAUAAGAGUGGUGUCUUCUGAAGGGCCCAUGUUCACUGCUGCCCGAUAUGAAACAUCCGUGCCAGAGAAUGCUGCUGAAGGCACACCUGUAGUGAGGGUGGAAGCCACCAGUACUUCAGGGGAGCCUGUAAUGUACACCAUUGUUGCUGGGAAUACUGAAGAAAAAUUUGCUAUCGACUAUUCCUCAGGUGGCAAUGCAGUAGAACCUGAGUGUGUAAUUCAGACUACAGCCAUGUUGGACUAUGAAGCCGCCCACAGCCACAACCUUACAGUCAGGGCCCGAGAUCCCUUCACUGGUAGCCACACAGAUGCUUAUGUCACCAUCAUGGUUACUGACAUCAAUGAUAACCCUCCAGAAUUCACUCACUAUAUAUUCAAAGGAGAUGUGUCAGAAGCUGCUGCUCCAGGUCAUGUCAUCCUUCAGGUUUCAGCGAGAGAUGUGGAUACUGGUAUGGGUGGAUCUGUCCGAUAUUCCUGUGCAGAUGAAUGUGAUGGAUUUGACAUACGCAGCACAGAUGGUGUUGUGGUGCUUACCAAACAACUGGAUGCUGAAGUUGAUUCUCAUCAUGAGCUUGUUGCUGUAGCUACUGAUUCAGGAAUUCCCCAGCUUUCUGCUACUGCCAGGGUUGUUAUUCAUGUUGUGGACUUCAACGACAACCCUCCCAUGUGGCGGCAGGACAGCUACUCUUGUCGUGUGUCAGCUGAAGCUCAACCUGGCCAUGUGGUUACUUCCAUGUCUGCUUCUGAUCCUGAUGCUGGUCAGAUCAUGCCUCUCCGUUAUGCCAUCCACUCAGGGGACCAAAGUGGAAUAUUCAAAAUGGAUUCUUUAACCGGUGUGCUGACAGUGACAGCACCACACAAGUUAGAGAAUGUAACUUCUCUGAAUCUGAACAUGUCAGUAACUGAUGGGGUACAUAUGGUCUUCAAGGUCCUUCAUGUCGCUAUUGUUCCUUCUAAUCAUCAUGCUCCUAGGUUUAACCGCACACUUUAUGAAGCUUAUGUGGAAGAGAAUUCUUCUCCUGGCCAACUUGUGACCAAUCUCCUUGCGUAUGACCCAGACACUGGUGGUUUUGGAACUCUGCAUUAUAGCAUUCUACACCAGACUUCUGAGGGUGCUUUCGCUAUAGAUAAAGAAGGCAACUUGUUCACGGAAAGACAACUAGACCGUGAGUCAUUAGCAUUGCACACCCUUAAAUUAUCCGUAAUAGAUGAGGGUGGACGGGCCAGCUUUACCACUGUCCGUUUGAUCAUCCAUGACAAGAAUGACAAUCCACCAAUAUUUACGUUGCCAGAGUAUCAAUCCAACAUCAACACUGACGUGGCUCCAGGCACAACUAUUCUGAAGGUUGAGGCAGAUGAUGCAGAUGAGGGGUUGAAUAGUGAGGUGGAAUACCGUAUGUAUGAAGCAAACAGCUCAGAGGCACUCAAGCUUUUUGCAGUUGAUUCUCUAACAGGAGAAGUCACCAUCACUCAGAGCCUCCAAGGCCGAGAAACUGAGGUGUAUCAGUUUUUCAUCCGUGGGGAGGACAAAGGGUCCCCACCCCACCACUCAGAUGUUCCCAUCACCAUCUUCCUUCUACCAGCCUAUGAAAGCCCUCCACACUGUGCCAAGAAGUAUGCACAGUUCUUUAUGAGAGAGGAUGAUCCUGUUGGGAAUGUGAUAGCAACUUUGUGGAUGGAGGGUCCACAGGAAGUACAGUAUUCAAUAGUAGCUGAUGAGGACACAGAGCAGAGAGUGGCAGGCAAGGAGAAGGGAUCAGGAGAGAGCUCUGGACCCUUUGCUGUAACUUCUACUGGGCUGGUGGUGACACGAAAAUCUCUGGAUCAUGAGCGGCGACGUAUACACCGCAUCACAGUCACCAACCACACACUUAUGACGCCCCCCACAGUGGACUAUAUGACAAUUUCUGUAAUGGUAAUGGAUGUGAAUGACUGCUCUCCACGCUUUUCUGAAAUGAGCUAUACAACCUUGGUGGCAGAGAACAGUGAACUGGGUGAUGUUAUUACUAUUCUUACUGCCACAGAUGAGGAUGAAGGAAACAAUGGCCAGAUCCAGUAUAGCCUCAGCCAUGAUGAAGAUGCUGUAAUCAAAUCAACAUUCCAUAUUGACCCACACACUGGGACACUGACCCUGGCAGCCUCACUGGACCGUGAGACUGUUGCUCAGUAUUCCUUCACAGUCAUAGCUACUGAUGGAGGUCAGAAACCUCUUUUUACAAGUGCAAGUGUUACUGUGAAGGUCAUGGAUUAUAAUGACAACCCACCAGUGUUCACAAAAGACACUUACAUCACUGCAGUACCAGAGGACACUGCAACUGGCACAGCUGUGGUGGAACUUAGUGUAACAGAUGCUGAUGAAACUAUGGCUGAGCUUGAUUACUUCAUUACUGGUGGAGACCCAGAAGGUCACUUUCUGGUCCACACUUCAGGACAGGUUUAUGUAGCUUCUAUGCUGGAUCGGGAGAAGCAAGCUGAAUACACAUUAACAGUCACUGUUACUGAUGGAAAAUUUACUGCCAACACAACAGUUACUAUAACUGUCAUUGAUGUCAAUGAUAAUGGUCCAGUGUGCAAGGAACCAGUGUAUCGACGUGAUGUGUCAGAGGGCAUCACUCCAGGCACCCAUAUCGCUUCAAUUGUAUCUUGGGAUGCUGAUGAAGGAACUGCUGCUCGUAGCCGUUACACCUUGACUGGGGAUGGUGCUGAACACUUCAGCAUUGACCAACUUAGUGGACAUGUGGCCACAGCCACCCAGCUUGAUCGUGAAACACAAGACAGCUAUUUUCUUACUGUUAUAAUUGAAGACUGGGAACAUGCAGACUGGCAAUGUGAGGUCCUGUUAGAGGUGAUUGUAACAGACACCAAUGAUAAUUCACCAUCCUUCAGUCUGGUCUCUCACUCUGCAACCUUGCCAGAGGAUGCACCUGUUAACACUGUUGUCCUGAAGAUGCAUGCAACUGAUCCUGACCUUGGUAUCAACCGAAAAGUGUACUACAACUUUGUGGACUCUGCCGAUGGUCAUUUUACUAUUGAUGAAAUGGAGGGAGUUGUAAGUCUGGCCCGCCCCCUUGACCGUGAGAUCAGGGACUCUUACAUUCUAACAGUACGUGCCAUAGAUCAAGGAGUGCCACCACUGUCCUCAACCACCCAGCUCACUGUUACAGUCUCAGAUGUAAAUGAUAAUGCACCGGAGUUUGUGAGGAAAUUACAUGAAAUUGCUGUAGAGGAGAACACACCUUUAGGUACAGAAAUCUUGCGGGUAAUGGCCACUUCUAGAGACAUCGGCAUCAAUGCAGAGAUCUCUUAUUCUCUCCAACACACUACUCAGGAGAAGUACCUCCACAUCCAUCCCAAGACCGGUGUGAUCAGUAUUGGGGGUGAGGUGGAUUUUGAACGAGUACAACAGGUGGUGGCAACAAUAGUAGCCACAGAUGGAGGUACACCACCCUUGUCUGCCACAGCUCUGGUCAACCUUACCAUUACUGAUAUCAAUGACAAUGCACCAGUAUUUACACUACCCAGAUACACUGCCACUGUCAGGGAGGAUGCACUGCAAGGUGCCAGUGUUAUUCAGGUUUCAGCAAAUGACAUGGACUCUGGUGUGAAUAGCUUGGUACGCUACAGCAUCAAGGCUGGAAAUGAUGCCUAUUGUUUUGCCAUUGAGGAUGACACUGGCAUCAUUACUGUCAUCAAAAACCUUGACAGAGAAAAGGUGGCUAAUUAUCAACUGACAGUCAGUGCCUGGGAUUUGGGCACUCCAACUAACACUGCAGUUGCUCAGGUAGUGAUACAUGUGAGUGAUGUCAAUGACAACUCACCCAUUUUCACCCAGGACAAUUACACAGUAGUGGUUCAGGAAAACCGACCUGUAGGUUAUUCACUGAUGCGGUUGAUGGCUACUGAUGCUGAUGCAGAUCCCAAUGGUGCCCCUUUUACAUGGGAAGUGAUUAACCAACCUAUUGAAGACCGUGCCUUCACUCUUGACCAAGAUGGCUCAUUAAGGCUGGCCACUAACAGACUUAACCACCAGGUGCAGGACAAGUACAUUGUGCAAGUGCGAGUCUGGGACAGUGGAUCUCCACCACUUCAUGCUAACACUCAUGUGACUGUUAAUGUUGUAGAAGAGUCUCGCUAUCCACCAACACUCUUUCCUCUUACAUCUGUAGUCAUCAGUUUUCGAACUGCCUUCCCAGGAGGUAUUAUAGGGCGGAUUACUGCAUUGGAUCAGGACCCUUAUGACACCUUGCAGUACUCAAUAGCACCCUAUCCUACUGAGGUCAGCUCUAUCAAGUAUUUUGACAUCGAUGGCCAGGACGGUACACUUGUUGCAUUGACACCACUGGAUGCUGGCAACUACAGUGUCAAUGUUAGUGUGUCAGAUGGCAGGUACCAUCGAACUGUACAAGCCUCCAUUCAAGUGUUAGUUAUUACUGAGGAAAUGGUAGAAAACUCUGUUAUUGUCAGACUGGGUCCUUUAUCAUCUGAUGAAUUUCUUUCAAGGUAUCAAAAAUUCUUCCUUAAUGCAGUUGCAACAGAACUCUCAAUUGAUGAGCAGUCUGUGAUGCUUGUUAGCCUACAGCCAACGCUGUUGCAUUCUCACUCAUUAGAAAAAAUAGAUUAUAUUCCACAACGUGCUAAAAGAGAUAUACAGAGAAGCUUGGAUGUUCUGAUUGUUGUGCAGCUAUCUGAAGCAUUUUUGACUAGAGAACAUUUAUUAAUGGAGUUAAAAACUAAACAAGAUGAUAUUAAACACAGACUUGGCUUACCACUUGUGGAAGUUAUGGAAUCGAUGUGUGUAUCUGAUUCAAAAUGUGGCAGCCAUGGAGAUUGUGUUGAUAUUGUCAAAGUCAGUGAAGAUGUAGCAAUGCCCUUCAACACACAGCUUUCUAGUUUUGUUGCUCCAAGGUUUUCACAGGAGGUUGGAUGUGUGUGUGAUCAAGGAUAUGGAGGUAAUGAAUGUUCAACCUUAGUGAAUGCCUGUGGACACCGACCUUGUGCUGAAUAUGAAGAAUGUUCACCCACAAACACCAGCAGUCGUGGUUACACAUGUCAGUGUCCUUCUGGUAGAGCAGGACCUUCAUGCCAAGUAGACUUGACAAAAUGUCGUAGCCCAACAUGCCAUUACCCACUGAGACCCCUUUCCUUUAAGGGAAAAAGCUAUGCUCAGUAUAGUAUAGCACGGCAAACAGAAAGCAGCUCAUUAGUACUCAGUGCAUUUAUGCGAACCAGGAACCCAGUUGGAACACUUGUUUUUGCUGCAGGGGAUGUGGAUUAUAGUGUACUGGAAGUUACUGGUGGACAUGUGCAAUAUCGCUGGGACUGUGGGAGUGGAGAAGGUUUAGUGAGAGUAUCAACAGUGACGGUUAAUAAUGAUAAGUGGCAUUUUAUCAAUCUUACCCGAGAGGGAACCAUAUCAACCCUGAGUGUAGAUGGUGAAGUCAGUUUGGGAGCAGCACCAGGUGCUAAUGAUAUUCUCAACACGGAUUCAGGUUUCAUGUAUCUUGGUGCUACUGUCAACAAAGAACAUGGUACAGGCUUGUCUUCCUACUCUCACACUAGCCUGGGAUUUGUGGGUUGUCUUGAUCAGGUUGUUAUUAAUGGUAUUGAGCUUCCUGUAGCAAUAACAGGAAUGUCUUCUGGGGAUGCAGUGCUAACACGCCUAGCUAAUGUUGAGCUACAGUGCCCUAAUGUACUACCAGUAGCAGGCGUGUGUGGUUCAUAUCCAUGCCAGAAUGGUGGCACAUGCAUUGAAAAUGAAAAUUCUUAUAAAUGCACUUGUCCUCCACGUUUUACUGGAGCACAAUGUCAAGUGGAUACAGCACCGUGUUCCUCAUCGCCUUGUCUCAAUGGGGGUAAAUGUAUUGUAGUUGGCCAUUCAUACAAAUGUCAGUGUCCUACAAAGUUAAGUGGAAAACGUUGCGAGUAUGGUGUGUUUUGUAAUCCAAACCCGUGUCAAAAUGGUGGCCGAUGUGAAGAAGGUGUUGACGGACCAAUAUGUAAGUGUCAACAUUUCACUGGUGCAAUGUGCCAGCUUGAUAUUGAUGAAUGUACCCGCAAUCCUUGCCAAAGUGGUGGAACCUGCCUCAACUUUUUUGGUGGAUUCAAGUGUAUAUGUUCUUCAAAUGUUACUGGUGAAUAUUGCACAGAAAAAGUCAAGAGACCUCAAGAAACAUCUUCAUCUUUGAACAUUACUUUGGAAGAACUAGUGUGCAUCCUAGCUGUCUUUCUUGGAUGUGUGAUGGCUGUGCUUCUUCUUGGAGCAUGGCAGAGACGGAGAUGGAGGCAUAAACGGCAUCAGCAAAAUAAUCGCAUAAAACUCACAGAUCACCAUGUUAAGAAUGAUUUGAAAGCUAAUGAUGCUCCCAAGAGAAAUUCAAAAAUUUGCAAUGUGGAAGCUGAUCAGCAGGGACCUCCUCUUCCACCACGGCCAGCAUCUUACACUCCUAGUGGCACUGACUCUGCCAUACUCAAUACCCUCAAACACUUGGCUGAUCUGUCUGCUGCAGGCCAUGAAAGCCUAGAGUUGGAGACUCUCUCCCGGUGUUCUCAUGAGCUCUUACACAGCUUGAACAAACCUGUUGUUAUGCCGCCCAACCUUUCUCCUCCACCUCCCUCCAACAGUGAUUCUGACUCUCUUCAUAAACCUUGGGAUCAUCACAACAACCUUAAUGACUCAAAUUUCAUGCCUAUCAAAGAUGUUGGUUGUGAUUUGGUGACCAAUUUAGGUGAUGCACACGCCUCGCCUGGCCGACAGUCUCCAUUUUCGGAUGAUUCAUCAGAGAGAGGGAGGGGGUCAUCGCCCCCUGCUGUGCCUCCCCUCCCCAGUCCCCAUCUCCUGGGCCGACGGACUCGGACAGGUUUGAGUCAUCUCGAGGUCAUCCCUGUUGAUUGUGACCCCACCAGACCAGUAUCAUGUACUCCUCAGAUCCCGACAUCCACCUUUAAUGGGUCGAACACAAGGGCACCUGGGGAUAGUGGAGGCUUUAGGAACUUUAAAAAAGGAUUUCCGCCGACUCAGCCAAAGAAAAAAGGUUACCACUGGGAUGAUUAUGAUAUGCGAGGUUCCCGCACCUUGGUUGGCUGUGGGGAUGGGGCCACAGCUGCACCACCUGACCUGUUGAUGUUAGCUGAAGGCACCAGCUUGGUUCCCACUGAUGAUGUAAUAGAGGGCGAGCCACUUCUACCACGAUCUAGUCAUAGCUCAUACAUGCCAGUCCAGAGAGAUGCUGCUGCCACACCUUUACUAUAUGUGGAUGCCAGAGAUCCCCAAGAAGCACCAGAAGGUAAUGAUGAUGAUGAUGAUGGCAAUGAUAAUGAUCCAUGUAGCUUUGAAGAAAUACUCUUGGCCAAUAAUAUAUCUAUUGGAUCUUCUCAAGACGUGGUAGCUGAUCAUAUGGCAAAAUACAACAUUGUCUCUGCCUUGGAGGACGAUUGCACUGAAUCGCCUUUGAAGAUAUCUAAUGUGCCUUCUGCUGCUGAUGGUGUCAACAAACUUGGCAGUCCCAGGAGUCGUCGCCCUUUCCAUCGCCGAGAUUACAGUCGUGUGUCAGAUUUAUCAUUUUUAUCUGCUCUUGAAGAGGAAGGUGUAGAUGACUCAAUGUCUGAACUUCAAGACUCGGACUAUGAAUCAGUGGACAGAACCAGCAACCAACAAACUGCCACACUUGUUCAGACUUCUCCGUCAGAAGUUUUUUUGUAAUUUCAUAAUAUUACAGAUGCCUCAUGCAAGGAUAAAUUAACCCUUUUAUAAAGUCACCUCCCACUCAUUUGCAUAGGCAAUUUCUUGCAAGAAAACUAUAUAUAUAUAUAUAUAUAUAUAUAUAUAUAUAUAUAUAUAUAUAUAUAUAUAUAUAUAUAUAUAUAUAUAUAUAUAUAUAUAUAUAUAUAUAUAUAUAAAUUGUAUAUUUUACAUACAAGACACUCUGCAGCAGCCUGUCAGUUAGCCUUCUUCCCAUCAGUUUAAAACAUACAACCUAAUUCCUAUUAGGUCAUAUUACAUCUCUACAGUGAUUCCAACAAGGGAAUAUGAUCACUCAUGAAUACAUGAUACUGAAAAUUAACAGUUUUCUGCAGAAGAUGUUUCAAUUGAAGAUAAUUAUUUUGGUGCCUUGUGGUCUAGUGUCGGGUUGUAGAGUAUAUACGUGGUAAUUUUGUAUUUUACUGUGAGAGAAAUUAAGAUUAUAAAGUUUCAUAUCUACUUUGAUAUACUACGCUUGUAUUAUUGUAUUAUAUAAGACUGUGUGUGUGUGUGUGUGUGUGUGUGUGUGUGUGUGUGUGUGUGUGUGUGUGUGUGUGUGUGUGUGUGUGUGUGUGUGUGUGU
Molecule: unclassified non-coding RNA, 11055 nt
Filed under: Portunus trituberculatus (swimming crab)
Lineage: Eukaryota; Metazoa; Arthropoda; Malacostraca; Decapoda; Portunidae
Description: fat-like cadherin-related tumor suppressor homolog, transcript variant X2
Source: RNAcentral